GUCCUUCCUCCUGUGUGCGCACAACCCACCGGAGGGGUCGGAGGGCUUCGGUGUGGAUCAGAUUGGGGGCGGUGGUGGAGGUCCUGGCACUGCGAUCCUAGGCUUCCAAAACUGACUAAACCAACAUACCUCUCGGACCAUUACUCAUCUGUGCAGUGUGUCACCUACCAGUUCUCCACCAGUCACUCGCCAUUCUGGUUACCAGCUCCACCUGCCUGCCCUCCUGCCGUUCCCUCUGGACUUGGAACUCCCUGGACUCUGGACAUGCUGGAUCAUAGCCACACAGACACUCAGCCUGAAACCGCCCCACAUUUCCCCCCACAUUUCCUCCGAACUGCUCACAAAACGUCACAACCCAGCACCUCGUAUCUAGAUCACCUGCCUGUGCAGUACCAUAGUUACCGUCACCGAACUCCCACAUAGCUACGUUUCAUAGUUGCCUGUUUUUGUGUGAUUGUAAAUAAAUAUAUUCUUUUGGGGAAGCCACUCAGCAUCUGCCUGUGUCUGCAUUUUGUCACAGCUGGAUAGCCCGUACGACAGGCCGGACUGUUAAAUAUUUGAAUGUUAAAUAGUUGAAAACUACGAAAAACUUGACAUAGUAUAGCAUUCCUACUGACACUAAACACUCUGUCUCUGAAGAGAAGUGACUAAUAACAUCCUGUAGUGAAACACUUGUAGCCAGUAGUGAACACUGGUUGAUGGAAGGAUGUUGAUAAUGUUUCCAGGAAGAACAAAAGUCACAUCAGACCAUCUCUUACAAAGUCAGAUAGACAUCACAUUAUCACAAAGACAGAUAUAAAUGUUUGUUUCUAGCUAGCUAUUUGCUGUUCUGUACAUAUAAAUUCUAUUUCACUUGUGCCAUGGUGAACUUAAUGCAUCAAACACACUUGCAAUUAUCCCCUCCCAUCAUACACUCAGGACCAUUCCUCUGCAGAUGAGAAGCGAAUUAGCUUGUUAGGGUAAGUGGAAGACUUCCAAG
RNAcentral lists this long non-coding RNA (979 nucleotides) under Oreochromis niloticus (Nile tilapia). RNAcentral describes it as "lncRNA (ENSONIG00000037621.1)". The record is from RNAcentral. Lineage: Eukaryota; Metazoa; Chordata; Actinopteri; Cichliformes; Cichlidae.